GUGAACGAUGAAAUAUUUAGGUAUGUAAAGUUCUUUUAUUAAAGAAGAAAAAAUGAUGGAAAAAUCAUUCUGACGGUAUUUAAUGAAUAAGCCCCGGCUAACUAUGUGCCAGCAGCUGCGGUAAUACAUGGGGGGCAAGCGUUAUCCGGAUUUAUUGGGCGUAAAGGGUGUGUAGGCGGUUUAAUAAGUCUAUGGUAUAAGUUCAACGCUUAACGUUGUGAUGCUAUGGAAACUGUUUGACUAGAGUUGGAUAGAGGCAAGUGGAAUUCCAUGUGUAGCGGUAAAAUGCGUAAAUAUAUGGAGGAACACCAGUAGCGAAGGCGGCUUGCUGGGUCUUAACUGACGCUGAGGCACGAAAGCGUGGGGAGCAAACAGGAUUAGAUACCCUGGUAGCCCACGCCGUAAACGAUGAGUACUAAGUGUUGGGUUAAACCAGUGCUGAAGUUAACACAUUAAGUACUCCGCCUGAGUAGUACGUACGCAAGUAUGAAACUUAAAGGAAUUGACGGGACUCCGCACAAGCGGUGGAUCAUGUUGUUUAAUUCGAAGAUACACGAAAAACCUUACCAGGUCUUGACAUACUCUGCAAAGCUAUAGAAAUAUAGUGGAGGUUAUCAGGGAUACAGGUGGUGCAUGGUUGUCGUCAGCUCGUGUCGUGAGAUGUUGGGUUAAGUCCCGCAACGAGCGCAACCCUUAUCGCUAGUUACCAUCAUUUAGUUGGGCACUUUAGUGAGACUGCCAAUGAUAAAUUGGAGGAAGGUGGGGAUUACGUCAAAUCAUCAUGCCCCUUAUGACCUGGGCUACAAACGUGAUACAAUGGCUGUUACAA
This 829-nucleotide ribosomal RNA is filed under the name Candidatus Phytoplasma mali. Its description in RNAcentral is "bacterial SSU rRNA". It matches the Rfam family "Bacterial small subunit ribosomal RNA", at positions 401 to 1242 of the family's 1533-position model. Lineage: Bacteria; Bacillati; Mycoplasmatota; Mollicutes; Acholeplasmatales; Acholeplasmataceae. The record is from RNAcentral.